CCUUCACUCAAGGCUGAAGAAAGCCCGGGCCACCAGAGUCCUCCACCCACGUGUCAGCAGUCAGAGCGUGCAGCUGAGACAUCUCUUCAGCUUUCCCAUGAAUCCUCUCCCUCCUGCCUCCUUGGCCAAAAUGGAAGUGCAAGGGAAAGGAUCUGCAGAGUCAGAACUUGAAUCAUCUCCAUUCAUCAAGGACUUAAGUGUUUCCUAACUCUUCUUCACAGGACCUACAAAAGAUGACUGUUCUAUCAGUCGUCAGUGCCCUCUGAUGGCUGCCCUGCAAUGAAAUGCAAUGACUUAGUUCUUGGAGCUGGAGUGGAAGAGAAAUGACCCGCAGAAGCUGUAUUCAUUUAAUGCAUCUUUAAAAAAAAAAAAAAAAAAAAAAAAAAAAGGAAAAAAAAAAAAGAAAGAAAGAAAAAAAGAAAAAACCCAACAACACAUGGUUCUGGCACUGAGAGAAAGGAUGGCUAGCAAAUACAGACAAGCCAGAUCUGUGUGGGUGAAUCAGAGGCCUUCUCUGUGUGAACAUGUCACAUGAAAAACAUAAGGAAGACUCCCUUUCUGUGAAAACUGGGGUUUGAGAGUGGCAGAAGCAUUCCUGUUUCCCCUGCCUCUCAUAUAAAGCAGACUUUCGUGAGGCAAAUUACUGUAGGAUGGUAAUGUUCCAAUAACUCUGUGACAUAAAAUCUGAGAAGCACA
This is a long non-coding RNA of Dromaius novaehollandiae (emu), 696 nucleotides long. RefSeq lists it as uncharacterized. The record is from RefSeq and is a predicted model, not a curated record. Lineage: Eukaryota; Metazoa; Chordata; Aves; Casuariiformes; Dromaiidae. The transcript is spliced from 4 exons.